Molecule: ribosomal RNA, 400 nt
Filed under: Escherichia coli
Lineage: Bacteria; Pseudomonadati; Pseudomonadota; Gammaproteobacteria; Enterobacterales; Enterobacteriaceae
Description: bacterial SSU rRNA
Rfam family: Bacterial small subunit ribosomal RNA
Source: RNAcentral
AAAUUGAAGAGUUUGAUCAUGGCUCAGAUUGAACGCUGGCGGCAGGCCUAACACAUGCAAGUCGAACGGUAACAGGAAUCAGCUUGCUGAUUCGCUGACGAGUGGCGGACGGGUGAGUAAUGUCUGGGAAACUGCCUGAUGGAGGGGGAUAACUACUGGAAACGGUAGCUAAUACCGCAUAACGUCGCAAGACCAAAGAGGGGGACCUUCGGGCCUCUUGCCAUCAGAUGUGCCCAGAUGGGAUUAGCUAGUAGGUGGGGUAACGGCUCACCUAGGCGACGAUCCCUAGCUGGUCUGAGAGGAUGACCAGCCACACUGGAACUGAGACACGGUCCAGACUCCUACGGGAGGCAGCAGUGGGGAAUAUUGCACAAUGGGCGCAAGCCUGAUGCAGCCAUGC